This 335-nucleotide unclassified non-coding RNA is filed under the name soil metagenome. RNAcentral's name for it is "partial contains 5.8S ribosomal RNA, internal transcribed spacer 2, and large subunit ribosomal RNA". The stretch from base 4 to 119 matches the Rfam family "5.8S ribosomal RNA", at positions 39 to 154 of the family's 154-position model. The record is from RNAcentral.
GAUAAGAACGCAGCGAAAUGCGAUAAGUAAUGUGAAUUGCAGAAUUCAGUGAAUCAUCGAAUCUUUGAACGCACAUUGCGCCCGCCAGAAUACUGGCGGGCAUGCCUGUUCGAGCGUCAUUUCAACCAUCAAGCCCCCGGCUUGUGUUGGGGACCUGCGGCUGCCGCAGGCCCUGAAAAGCAGUGGCGGGCUCGCUGUCACACCGAGCGUAGUAGCAUACAUCUCGCUCUGGGCGUGCUGCGGGUUCCGGCCGUUAAACCACCUUCAUAACCCAAGGUUGACCUCGGAUCAGGUAGGAAGACCCGCUGAACUUAAGCAUAUCAAUAAGCGGAGGA